UAAUAGGCAUGAUCCCCUUUGAGAUGGUAGC
RNAcentral lists this non-coding RNA (31 nucleotides) under Mus musculus (house mouse). Lineage: Eukaryota; Metazoa; Chordata; Mammalia; Rodentia; Muridae. The record is from RNAcentral.